AGAGGAUGAUGAGGGGGCGGAGGAGGCAGCACCUCCUUGCUGUGUGUGUGCUGAUGGUUGUCGCUGGAGGUUUUCUGAAGUCGAGGGUCACCAAUCUCCCAGCAGACAGACCUCUAAUCAGGAGGAGACUGCUGCAUGUCACACUCCAAUCCGUGGCUGCUGUCAGCAAUAUGCUGUGUCACCCUGGAUCUUCUUAUUCUAGUCAUCCACUGGUGCAAGAGAGGAACCAGACAGCAGUUUUCCAGUUUUUCUACAGACACUCAAAGCCUUUUAGGCGGCACACAAACCCCGGCAGAGGAUAACGCUGUCAUGAAGAGACAAAGAAAACAGCAAGUUCACUUAUCAGCACAAACAAAAACUAAAGAUGUCCAGAAGAUGACUGAAAUGGGCUGUUACAUGGAUGUCAGUGUUCAACCUCCAAGAAAAGAGGUGAUGACCAAGGACCAACUUUUUGAUGGAAAGGUGCGAGUGAUCAGAGUCAGCAGUUUCUGCUCCUCAGAUACAUCCUAUGACUCGUCAGUAGUGAGUUCUGAUCUAGAGGUAGGUUAAGUAAAAUCAUCUUGACCAUUUUGUCACAGAAACAGGGUGACAUUUUCUUAAAAAAAGGACGAGGUGAAGGUUCAAAAUACACUGAUACUGCAGAAGCUGCACAAGACAUGUUUCUGUUAUCAACAAUCCUAUUAAGA
This is a long non-coding RNA of Larimichthys crocea (large yellow croaker), 686 nucleotides long. RefSeq lists it as uncharacterized. The transcript has 5 exons. The record is from RefSeq and is a predicted model, not a curated record. NCBI's taxonomy places the organism in Eukaryota, Metazoa, Chordata, Actinopteri, Sciaenidae.